RNAcentral lists this ribosomal RNA (440 nucleotides) under uncultured archaeon. Its description in RNAcentral is "bacterial SSU rRNA". It matches the Rfam family "Archaeal small subunit ribosomal RNA", at positions 19 to 458 of the family's 1478-position model. The record is from RNAcentral.
GGAGGUUACUGCUAUCGGUGUUCGCCUAACCCAUGCGAGUCAUAUGUUCUUCGUGAACAUGGCGUACUGCUCAGUAACACGUGAAUAACCUGCCCUUGGGACCGGCAUAACCCCGGAAAACUGGGGAUAAUUCCGGAUACCGCAUAUAUGCUGGAAUGCUUUAUGCGUGAAAUGGAUUCGUCUGCCCAAGGAUGGGUCUGCGGCCUAUCAGGUAGUAGUGGGUGUAAUGUACCUACUACCCUACAACGGGUACGGGUUGUGAGAGCAAGAGCCCGGAAAUGGAUUCUGAAACAUGAAUCCAGGCCCUACGGGGCGCAGCAGGCGCGAAAACUUUACAAUGCGGGAAACCGUGAUAAGGGGACACCGAGUGCCAGCAACAUUUGUUGGCUGUCCAGGUGUGUAAACUACACCUGUUAGCAAGGGCCGGGCAAGACCGGUGC